This 1287-nucleotide ribosomal RNA is filed under the name metagenome. RNAcentral's name for it is "bacterial SSU rRNA". It matches the Rfam family "Bacterial small subunit ribosomal RNA", at positions 242 to 1520 of the family's 1533-position model. The record is from RNAcentral.
UAGCUAGUUGGUGAGGUAAAGGCUUACCAAGGCGACGAUCUGUAGCGGGUCUGAGAGGAUGAUCCGCCACACUGGAACUGAGACACGGUCCAGACUCCUACGGGAGGCAGCAGUGGGGAAUUUUGGACAAUGGGGGCAACCCUGAUCCAGCCAUGCCGCGUGAGUGAAGAAGGCCUUCGGGUUGUAAAGCUCUUUCGGCCGGGAAGAAAUCGCAUGGGCCAAUACCCUGUGUGGAUGACGGUACCGGAAUAAGAAGCACCGGCUAACUACGUGCCAGCAGCCGCGGUAAUACGUAGGGUGCGAGCGUUUAUCGGAAUUACUGGGCGUAAAGCGUGCGCAGGCGGUUUUGUAAGACAGGCGUGAAAUCCCCGGGCUUAACCUGGGAACUGCGUUUGUGACUGCAAGGCUAGAGUACGGCAGAGGGGGGUGGAAUUCCACGUGUAGCAGUGAAAUGCGUAGAGAUGUGGAGGAACACCAAUGGCGAAGGCAGCCCCCUGGGUCGAUACUGACGCUCAUGCACGAAAGCGUGGGUAGCAAACAGGAUUAGAUACCCUGGUAGUCCACGCCCUAAACUAUGUCAACUAGGUGUUGGGUGGGUAAGACCAUUUAGUACCGUAGCUAACGCGUGAAGUUGACCGCCUGGGGAGUACGGCCGCAAGGUUAAAACUCAAAGGAAUUGACGGGGACCCGCACAAGCGGUGGAUGAUGUGGAUUAAUUCGAUGCAACGCGAAAAACCUUACCUACCCUUGACAUGCCAGGAACUUGCCAGAGAUGGCUUGGUGCCCGAAAGGGAGCCUGGACACAGGUGCUGCAUGGCUGUCGUCAGCUCGUGUCGUGAGAUGUUGGGUUAAGUCCCGCAACGAGCGCAACCCUUGUCGUUAAUUGCCAUCAUUUAGUUGGGCACUUUAACGAGACUGCCGGUGACAGACCGGAGGAAGGUGGGGAUGACGUCAAGUCCUCAUGGCCCUUAUGGGUAGGGCUUCACACGUCAUACAAUGGUCGGUACAAAGGGUUGCCAAGCCGCGAGGCGGAGCCAAUCCCAGAAAGCCGAUCGUAGUCCGGAUUGCAGGCUGCAACUCGCCUGCAUGAAGUCGGAAUCGCUAGUAAUCGUGGAUCAGCAUGUCACGGUGAAUACGUUCCCGGGUCUUGUACACACCGCCCGUCACACCAUGGGAGCGGGUUCCGCCAGAAGUAGGUAGCCUAACCGCAAGGGGGGCGCUUACCACGGCGGGGUUCGUGACUGGGGUGAAGUCGGAACAAGGUAGCCGUAGGGGAACCUGCGGCUG